This 748-nucleotide ribosomal RNA is filed under the name Bacillus sp. RKNN1. RNAcentral describes it as "bacterial SSU rRNA". It matches the Rfam family "Bacterial small subunit ribosomal RNA", at positions 86 to 818 of the family's 1533-position model. The record is from RNAcentral. Lineage: Bacteria; Bacillati; Bacillota; Bacilli; Caryophanales; Bacillaceae.
AUGACGUUAGCGGCGGACGGGUGAGUAACACGUGGGCAACCUGCCUGUAAGACUGGGAUAACUCCGGGAAACCGGAGCUAAUACCGGAUAACAUUUUCUCUUGCAUAAGAGAAAAUUGAAAGAUGGUUUCGGCUAUCACUUACAGAUGGGCCCGCGGUGCAUUAGCUAGUUGGUGAGGUAACGGCUCACCAAGGCAACGAUGCAUAGCCGACCUGAGAGGGUGAUCGGCCACACUGGGACUGAGACACGGCCCAGACUCCUACGGGAGGCAGCAGUAGGGAAUCUUCCGCAAUGGACGAAAGUCUGACGGAGCAACGCCGCGUGAGUGAUGAAGGCUUUCGGGUCGUAAAACUCUGUUGUUAGGGAAGAACAAGUACAAGAGUAACUGCUUGUACCUUGACGGUACCUAACCAGAAAGCCACGGCUAACUACGUGCCAGCAGCCGCGGUAAUACGUAGGUGGCAAGCGUUAUCCGGAAUUAUUGGGCGUAAAGCGCGCGCAGGCGGUUUCUUAAGUCUGAUGUGAAAGCCCACGGCUCAACCGUGGAGGGUCAUUGGAAACUGGGGAACUUGAGUGCAGAAGAGAAAAGCGGAAUUCCACGUGUAGCGGUGAAAUGCGUAGAGAUGUGGAGGAACACCAGUGGCGAAAGGCGGCUUUUUGGUCUGUAACUGACGCUGAGGCGCGAAAGCGUGGGGGAGCAAACAGGAUUAGAUACCCUGGUAGUCCACGCCGUAAACGAUGAGUGCUA